AGAGGUGGCGAGCGUUGUUCGGAUUUAUUGGGCGUGAAGCGAACGCAGGUGGUUUGGUAAGUCAGGGGUGAAAGCCCACAGCUUAACUGUGGCACUGCCUUUGAUACUGCCUUUCUUGAGUGCAUGAGGGGGAAGCGGAAUUCUGAGUGUAGAGGUGAAAUUCGUAGAUAUUCGGAGGAACACCGGUGGCGAAGGCGGCUUCCUGGCAUGUAACUGACACUCAUGUUCGAAAGCGUGGGUAGCAAACAGGAUUAGAUACCCUGGUAGUCCACGCCCUAAACGAUGGGCACUAGGUGUGAGAGGUAUCGACCCCUUCCGUGCCGCAGCUAACGCAUUAAGUGCCCCGCCUGGGGAGUACGGCCGCAAGGUUG
Molecule: ribosomal RNA, 371 nt
Filed under: uncultured bacterium
Lineage: Bacteria
Description: bacterial SSU rRNA
Rfam family: Bacterial small subunit ribosomal RNA
Source: RNAcentral